Molecule: long non-coding RNA, 1250 nt
Filed under: Gallus gallus (chicken)
Lineage: Eukaryota; Metazoa; Chordata; Aves; Galliformes; Phasianidae
Source: RNAcentral
GGUGUUAAUUAGUAUAUGCUAAUGAGGAUGGGAUCGGCCAUAGGGAAGAAGUCGUUAAUUAGCGGCCUUCACGAGCUGCGGAUCGUUACUAUUGAGGCUUCGUGUUGGUUGAAGGCUGGGCUCAUUUGCAUACAUUAGCAUAUGAGGAUCGAGAGUGCAUACGAGGAUCGAGAAUGCUCGCUAAUUAGCAUUGCUAAUGAGGACGGGAUCAGCACUAACGAAGACUUCGUUAAUUAGCGACCUUAACGAGUUGUCCAUUGUUACCAUUGAGGCUCUUCAGUGAUUGAAUGCUGGGCUCAUUUGCAUAAAUUAGCAUACGAGGAUCAAGAAGGGUAGCUAAUUAAGGCCACUAAUGAGGAUCGGAUUGACGAUGAUGGAGACUUCGUUAAUUAGCAGCCUUGUUAAUUAGCGGCCUUGACGAGCUGUGGAUUGCUAUCAUGGAGGCCUCGGAUUGGUUGAAAGCUGAGCUCAUUUGCAUGAAUUAGCAUACGAGGAUCAAGAAAGGAUGUUAAUUAGAGCUGCUAAUGAAGAUUGGAUCAGCGCUAACGAAGAGUUUGUUAAUUAGGAACCUUAAUGAGCAAUCCAUCGUUACCUUCGAGGCUUUUCAGUGGUUGAAAGCUGGGCUCAUUUGCAUAAAUUAGCAUACGAGGAUCAAGAAAGGACGUUAAUUGGCGCUGCUAAUGAGGAUCCAAUCAGCGCUAACGAAGACUUCGUUAAUUAGCGACCUUAAUGAGCUGUGGAUCGUUACCAUGGAGGUCACGGAUUGGUUGAAAGCUGGGCUCAUUUGCAUAAAUUAGCAUACGAGGAUCAAGAAGCGUCGUUAAUUAGAGCUGCUAAUGAGGAUCCGAUCAGCGCUAAUGAAGAUCUUGUUAAUUAGCGGAUGAAGGCUUCGUUAAUGAGCGGCUUUGCACGAGCUGCGGGUCGUUACCAUGGAGGCUUCUCAUUGGUCGAAAGCUGGGCUCAUUUGCAUACAUUUGCAUAGGAGGAUCACGAAAGCUCGUUCCUGAGCACUAAUUAACGGGGCUUAAUGAGGCUGCUUAAUGAGCUCGGCGCAGCGGUAACGAAGGCCGCCUUAAUUAGCGAGCGCGGCUCCCGGCGUCGGCUUCCCAUUGGUCGAGAGCCCCCCUCAUUAGCAUAUAUGAAUGGUUAAUGAGGGGGCGGUGUUGAAUGGGUUUCAAUGGGGGCCAAUGGGGUUUAAUGGGGGUUAAUGGGGUCUUAUAGGGUCUUAAUGGGGUUUAUGGGGUCUUAAU